Molecule: ribosomal RNA, 484 nt
Filed under: uncultured bacterium
Lineage: Bacteria
Description: partial 16S ribosomal RNA
Rfam family: Bacterial small subunit ribosomal RNA
Source: RNAcentral
AUUGAACGCUGGCGGCAGGCCUAACACAUGCAAGUCGAACGGAGGAACGGUGCUUGCUUCGGGUUUCGGCGGCGGACGGGGGAGGGGUGCCUAAGAAGCUGGUAAGCUGCGGGGGAUUACGUGAUGACACGGGGGCACUUACGCUAAUACUGCAUAGGGAGCACGUGGGGGAUCUUGGGAGCUUACGCUAUUGGGCGAUUCGAGGUCGGAUUAGCUAGUUGGUGGGGUAACGGCCUACCAAGGCGACGAUCCGUAGCUGGUCUGAGAGGAUGAUCAGUCACACUGGAACUGAGACACGGUCCAGACUCCUACGGGAGGCAGCAGUGGGGAAUAUUGGACAAUGGGCGAAAGCCUGAUCCAGCCAUGCCGCGUGUGUGAAGAAGGUCUUCGGAUUGUAAAGCACUUUUAGUUGGGAAGAAGAGCAGUAAGUUAAUACCUUGCUGUUUUGACGGUACCAACAGAAUAAGCACCGGCUAACUUCGUG